UAAGUGGUUCAGUUACAUUAGAGAAAAUUUCUGUAAGAUCUUCCACGAUGUUGCUCGUAUUUAGGCCUGUUGGAAACUCGAUGACCUCAACACACCUACUAUAGUGGACUUAAUAUCUACAACUAAUACUACACCAACUUUCUGAAGUCGGUUAACUUUUUAUUUUCUAACUUCUUAGUGCACUAUAAUACUCAAGUGGCAAAGCCGACCACAUAUCAUUCAGGUCGGCUCUAUGGUCGACUCUGCCGACCAUAUAUCAUUCAGGUGGCAGAGCCGACCAUAUAUUAAAUUCAACCCAAGUGCAUUAACUACUUAAUUAGAAACCGAAGGCUUAACUGAGACUUACAAUUACAAGAGAAGAAAACAUUUUUAUUAAUACACAACACAAUUACAAUAUGACGCACACUUACCUCACUACUCUUCUCUUUUCUACCUCUACCUUUCACACUCUUUUGCUUAUGGCUCUCUC
This 469-nucleotide long non-coding RNA is filed under the name Gossypium raimondii (Peruvian cotton). RNAcentral describes it as "long non-coding RNA (GRAI_LNC003542)". Lineage: Eukaryota; Viridiplantae; Streptophyta; Magnoliopsida; Malvales; Malvaceae. The record is from RNAcentral.